RNAcentral lists this ribosomal RNA (249 nucleotides) under uncultured bacterium. RNAcentral describes it as "partial 16S ribosomal RNA". It matches the Rfam family "Bacterial small subunit ribosomal RNA", at positions 523 to 769 of the family's 1533-position model. The record is from RNAcentral.
AUACGUAGGGGGCGAAGCGUUAUCCGGAUUUACUGGGUGUAAAGGGAGCGUAGACGGCACUGCAAGUCUGGAGUGAAAGCCCGGGGCUCAACCCCGGGACUGCUUUGGAAACUGUGGUGCUAGAGUGCAGGAGAGGUAAGUGGAAUUCCUAGUGUAGCGGUGAAAUGCGUAGAUAUUAGGAGGGAACACCAGUGGCGAAGGCGGCUUACUGGACUGUAACUGACGUUGAGGCUCGAAAGCGUGGGGAGC